Molecule: long non-coding RNA, 583 nt
Filed under: Ananas comosus (pineapple)
Lineage: Eukaryota; Viridiplantae; Streptophyta; Magnoliopsida; Poales; Bromeliaceae
Description: long non-coding RNA (ACOM_LNC032293)
Source: RNAcentral
GGGUCUGACAUUUUUUUUUUUGGGAAAAUUUUAAACACCCCUGUAGUUUUUCAGUUUUUUAAUUUUAGUACCAUAUGAUUUAAAAUAUAUCAAGUUAGUUUCUUGUGGUUUCGCACUUUCUCAUUUUAGUACUAUGUGGUUUAAAGUGUAUCAAAUUAGUACUCUGUGAUUUUAUUUUUGUAUCAAGUUAGUACCAUGUGGUUUUAUUUUUGUAUCAAAUUAGUACCAUGUGGUUUUAUUUUUGUAUCAAAUUAGUACCCUGUGGUUUUUAAACCACAGAAGUACUAAAGUGAGAAAGUGCGAAAUCAUAGGGUACUAAAGUAAGAAAGUGUGAAACCACAGAGUACUAACUUGAUGCACUUUAAACCACAGGGUACUAAAGUGAGAAAGUGCAAAAUCACAGGGUACUAAUUUGAUACAUUUUAAACCACAAGAUACUAAAGUGAGAAGGAGUGAAAUCACAAGAGGGGUAUUUGAAGUUUUCCCUUUUUUUUUGCAUUUUAAUUUAUUAUAAUUUUUUUAUUUUAAAUUAUAUAAUUUUAUAAUUAAGUUCAUUAAAUGAUGACGUUACAGAUUUUAAUUG